This is an RNA transcript of Ziziphus jujuba (common jujube), 970 nucleotides long. RefSeq lists it as uncharacterized. The record is from RefSeq and is a predicted model, not a curated record. The transcript has 2 exons. Lineage: Eukaryota; Viridiplantae; Streptophyta; Magnoliopsida; Rosales; Rhamnaceae.
UGCAAGAUGCCCCAAAAAAAAUAAAUAAAUAAAUAAAAAAUAAGAGCAAAAAAUUAAAGGGUGUCUAAUGAACAAGAGAGAAUAUAGAUAAGCAUGUGGUCAGGUGGCCAUCUAUAUCCUUAGCCAAACAUAGAAGUGAAAGGUUCAUUUUCUUUAGAGCCUCCAAACCAAUCCACAUUUAUCGUACCCCUUCUUUCUAAAAGCUUUAGCCUACCUUUCUAUCCCUGGAUGACCACGACGUGUCACUUCUUAUCCCCAUUCCUAUAUAUCUGAUCGUUACACCCUCUUCCUUUCCCAUAUUAUAAAACCACCUCUAUUACAUAAAUAUCAAAAAGGAAAAGAAAAAAAAAAAAAAAAAAAAAGUACCUCUCCAAUCCCACUUUUCCAAUUUCAUUGAUCUUCUUCUUCUUCUUCUUCUUCAUCUUUCUCUCUCUAUCAAUAUGGACACACAAGCUGAUCUCACCAUGAGAACUUUUGAUAUGGGUUCUCUAAGGACAAAUCUUCCUUUGAAGAGAGGAUUGUCAAGGUAUUAUUCAGGAAAAUCGAGAUCGUUUACGUGCAUGGCGGAUGUUCAUUGCCUUGAAGAUCUUAAGAAACCAGAACAUCCAGAUGCCAAGAAAAGGAAGAAAUAUUCAGAUAGAAAGGAUAUGCGUGUUCCUCCAUAUCCAUGUCGAAGAGUUUCUAGUUCCACCCAAUGUGCUCCACCUUAUGUUGGUGUAUAAAAAUAUUUCACUAACAUGGUCAUCAUCAAUAUCAAAAAAACAUAUGAUCAUGUGCUCAGCCUUUCCAAUAAAUUUUUUUUUAUUUAAUUCCAACUUCCUAAUCGUUGUGUAAAUAAUAAGUUGAGAACAAUAGAAAUAUGUUGGACCUCGUUUUGUUAUGAAACAUUCUAGUUUUAAUUACUCAAAUUUCAGCUCUCAGGAACUGUACAACAUUUAUAAUAUGAAAAGCAGACAUGAUUUAGAACUUC